This 847-nucleotide ribosomal RNA is filed under the name uncultured bacterium. RNAcentral describes it as "bacterial SSU rRNA". It matches the Rfam family "Bacterial small subunit ribosomal RNA", at positions 60 to 902 of the family's 1533-position model. The record is from RNAcentral.
AGUCGAGCGGUAGAGAGAAGCUUGCUUCUCUUGAGAGCGGCGGACGGGUGAGUAAUGCCUAGGAAUCUGCCUGGUAGUGGGGGAUAACGUUCGGAAACGGACGCUAAUACCGCAUACGUCCUACGGGAGAAAGCAGGGGACCUUCGGGCCUUGCGCUAUCAGAUGAGCCUAGGUCGGAUUAGCUAGUUGGUGGGGUAAUGGCUCGCCAAGGCGACGAUCCGUAACUGGUCUGAGAGGAUGAUCAGUCACACUGGAACUGAGACACGGUCCAGACUCCUACGGGAGGCAGCAGUGGGGAAUAUUGGACAAUGGGCGAAAGCCUGAUCCAGCCAUGCCGCGUGUGUGAAGAAGGUCUUCGGAUUGUAAAGCACUUUAAGUUGGGAGGAAGGGUUGUAGAUUAAUACUCUGCAAUUUUGACGUUACCGACAGAAUAAGCACCGGCUAACUCUGUGCCAGCAGCCGCGGUAAUACAGAGGGUGCAAGCGUUAAUCGGAAUUACUGGGCGUAAAGCGCGCGUAGGUGGUUAGUUAAGUUGGAUGUGAAAUCCCCGGGCUCAACCUGGGAACUGCAUUCAAAACUGACUGACUAGAGUAUGGUAGAGGGUGGUGGAAUUUCCUGUGUAGCGGUGAAAUGCGUAGAUAUAGGAAGGAACACCAGUGGCGAAGGCGACCACCUGGACUGAUACUGACACUGAGGUGCGAAAGCGUGGGGAGCAAACAGGAUUAGAUACCCUGGUAGUCCACGCCGUAAACGAUGUCAACUAGCCGUUGGGAGCCUUGAGCUCUUAGUGGCGCAGCUAACGCAUUAAGUUGACCGCCUGGGGAGUACGGCCGCAAGGUUAAAACUC